RNAcentral lists this ribosomal RNA (2930 nucleotides) under Escherichia coli. RNAcentral describes it as "23S ribosomal RNA". It matches the Rfam family "Bacterial large subunit ribosomal RNA". Lineage: Bacteria; Pseudomonadati; Pseudomonadota; Gammaproteobacteria; Enterobacterales; Enterobacteriaceae. The record is from RNAcentral.
GGGUUGUGAGGUUAAGCGACUAAGCGUACACGGUGGAUGCCCUGGCAGUCAGAGGCGAUGAAGGACGUGCUAAUCUGCGAUAAGCGUCGGUAAGGUGAUAUGAACCGUUAUAACCGGCGAUUUCCGAAUGGGGAAACCCAGUGUGAUUCGUCACACUAUCAUUAACUGAAUCCAUAGGUUAAUGAGGCGAACCGGGGGAACUGAAACAUCUAAGUACCCCGAGGAAAAGAAAUCAACCGAGAUUCCCCCAGUAGCGGCGAGCGAACGGGGAGCAGCCCAGAGCCUGAAUCAGUAUGUGUGUUAGUGGAAGCGUCUGGAAAGGCGCGCGAUACAGGGUGACAGCCCCGUACACAAAAAUGCACAUGCUGUGAGCUCGAUGAGUAGGGCGGGACACGUGGUAUCCUGUCUGAAUAUGGGGGGACCAUCCUCCAAGGCUAAAUACUCCUGACUGACCGAUAGUGAACCAGUACCGUGAGGGAAAGGCGAAAAGAACCCCGGCGAGGGGAGUGAAAAAGAACCUGAAACCGUGUACGUACAAGCAGUGGGAGCACGCUUAGGCGUGUGACUGCGUACCUUUUGUAUAAUGGGUCAGCGACUUAUAUUCUGUAGCAAGGUUAACCGAAUAGGGGAGCCGAAGGGAAACCGAGUCUUAACUGGGCGUUAAGUUGCAGGGUAUAGACCCGAAACCCGGUGAUCUAGCCAUGGGCAGGUUGAAGGUUGGGUAACACUAACUGGAGGACCGAACCGACUAAUGUUGAAAAAUUAGCGGAUGACUUGUGGCUGGGGUGAAAGGCCAAUCAAACCGGGAGAUAGCUGGUUCUCCCCGAAAGCUAUUUAGGUAGCGCCUCGUGAAUUCAUCUCUGGGGGUAGAGCACUGUUUCGGCAAGGGGGUCAUCCCGACUUACCAACCCGAUGCAAACUGCGAAUACCGGAGAAUGUUAUCACGGGAGACACACGGCGGGUGCUAACGUCCGUCGUGAAGAGGGAAACAACCCAGACCGCCAGCUAAGGUCCCAAAGUCAUGGUUAAGUGGGAAACGAUGUGGGAAGGCCCAGACAGCCAGGAUGUUGGCUUAGAAGCAGCCAUCAUUUAAAGAAAGCGUAAUAGCUCACUGGUCGAGUCGGCCUGCGCGGAAGAUGUAACGGGGCUAAACCAUGCACCGAAGCUGCGGCAGCGACGCUUAUGCGUUGUUGGGUAGGGGAGCGUUCUGUAAGCCUGCGAAGGUGUGCUGUGAGGCAUGCUGGAGGUAUCAGAAGUGCGAAUGCUGACAUAAGUAACGAUAAAGCGGGUGAAAAGCCCGCUCGCCGGAAGACCAAGGGUUCCUGUCCAACGUUAAUCGGGGCAGGGUGAGUCGACCCCUAAGGCGAGGCCGAAAGGCGUAGUCGAUGGGAAACAGGUUAAUAUUCCUGUACUUGGUGUUACUGCGAAGGGGGGACGGAGAAGGCUAUGUUGGCCGGGCGACGGUUGUCCCGGUUUAAGCGUGUAGGCUGGUUUUCCAGGCAAAUCCGGAAAAUCAAGGCUGAGGCGUGAUGACGAGGCACUACGGUGCUGAAGCAACAAAUGCCCUGCUUCCAGGAAAAGCCUCUAAGCAUCAGGUAACAUCAAAUCGUACCCCAAACCGACACAGGUGGUCAGGUAGAGAAUACCAAGGCGCUUGAGAGAACUCGGGUGAAGGAACUAGGCAAAAUGGUGCCGUAACUUCGGGAGAAGGCACGCUGAUAUGUAGGUGAAGCGACUUGCUCGUGGAGCUGAAAUCAGUCGAAGAUACCAGCUGGCUGCAACUGUUUAUUAAAAACACAGCACUGUGCAAACACGAAAGUGGACGUAUACGGUGUGACGCCUGCCCGGUGCCGGAAGGUUAAUUGAUGGGGUUAGCGCAAGCGAAGCUCUUGAUCGAAGCCCCGGUAAACGGCGGCCGUAACUAUAACGGUCCUAAGGUAGCGAAAUUCCUUGUCGGGUAAGUUCCGACCUGCACGAAUGGCGUAAUGAUGGCCAGGCUGUCUCCACCCGAGACUCAGUGAAAUUGAACUCGCUGUGAAGAUGCAGUGUACCCGCGGCAAGACGGAAAGACCCCGUGAACCUUUACUAUAGCUUGACACUGAACAUUGAGCCUUGAUGUGUAGGAUAGGUGGGAGGCUUUGAAGUGUGGACGCCAGUCUGCAUGGAGCCGACCUUGAAAUACCACCCUUUAAUGUUUGAUGUUCUAACGUUGACCCGUGAUCCGGGUUGCGGACAGUGUCUGGUGGGUAGUUUGACUGGGGCGGUCUCCUCCUAAAGAGUAACGGAGGAGCACGAAGGUUGGCUAAUCCUGGUCGGACAUCAGGAGGUUAGUGCAAUGGCAUAAGCCAGCUUGACUGCGAGCGUGACGGCGCGAGCAGGUGCGAAAGCAGGUCAUAGUGAUCCGGUGGUUCUGAAUGGAAGGGCCAUCGCUCAACGGAUAAAAGGUACUCCGGGGAUAACAGGCUGAUACCGCCCAAGAGUUCAUAUCGACGGCGGUGUUUGGCACCUCGAUGUCGGCUCAUCACAUCCUGGGGCUGAAGUAGGUCCCAAGGGUAUGGCUGUUCGCCAUUUAAAGUGGUACGCGAGCUGGGUUUAGAACGUCGUGAGACAGUUCGGUCCCUAUCUGCCGUGGGCGCUGGAGAACUGAGGGGGGCUGCUCCUAGUACGAGAGGACCGGAGUGGACGCAUCACUGGUGUUCGGGUUGUCAUGCCAAUGGCACUGCCCGGUAGCUAAAUGCGGAAGAGAUAAGUGCUGAAAGCAUCUAAGCACGAAACUUGCCCCGAGAUGAGUUCUCCCUGACCCUUUAAGGGUCCUGAAGGAACGUUGAAGACGACGACGUUGAUAGGCCGGGUGUGUAAGCGCAGCGAUGCGUUGAGCUAACCGGUACUAAUGAACCGUGAGGCUUAACCUUACAACGCCGAAGGUGUUU